Molecule: ribosomal RNA, 498 nt
Filed under: uncultured bacterium
Lineage: Bacteria
Description: partial 16S ribosomal RNA
Rfam family: Bacterial small subunit ribosomal RNA
Source: RNAcentral
GACGAACGCUGGCGGCGUGCCUAAUACAUGCAAGUCGAACGAGAGCGCCCGGUGCUUGCACUGGUCAAUCUAGUGGCGAACGGGUGAGUAACACGUGGGUAACCUGCCCAUCAGAGGGGGAUAACAUCCGGAAACGGAUGCUAAAACCGCAUAGGUCUUCGAACCGCAUGGUUUGAAGAGGAAAAGAGGCGCAAGCUUCUGCUGAUGGAUGGACCCGCGGUGCAUUAGCUAGUUGGUGAGGUAACGGCUCACCAAGGCCGUGAUGCAUAGCCGACCUGAGAGGGUGAUCGGCCACAUUGGGACUGAGACACGGCCCAAACUCCUACGGGAGGCAGCAGAAGGGAAUCUUCCGCAAUGGACGCAAGUCUGACGGAGCAACGCCGCGUGAGUGAAGAAGGUUUUCGGAUCGUAAAACUCUGUUGUUAGAGAAGAACAAGUGCUAGAGUAACUGUUAGCGCCUUGACGGUAUCUAACCAGAAAGCCACGGCUAACUACGUG